UAACGGUUCCAGAAUUUAAAUGAAGAUAUAUGCAUUAAAAAUCUCAAAUGCGAAAGCGUAAUAAAAAUUUUGAUUAACAUCCCUUACACAAUAACCAAAACGUACUCAAAACAUGAAAGAACAAACUAACUAAAAGAGAUACUCGAAAUAAGAACUAUAAAUAUAACUAUGGAGUCUUUAGGCGUCCCCUUCGCCGUCUUCCUGCGGAACGGGCUUGGGAACAAUGUCUUCCUGAUAUGAAAUGGUUAAAUAAGGAAUGAGCUACACUAGCCCAGUAAAGACAUCACACUAUCUCACCGCCACGGAAGUAAACAAAAAAAUAACCAAUGGAGCAUAAUUUAUAACAAACUCGUUUAUUAACAUAUAAACCUUUGCUGUCCACUUACCUCGGUGAGAUCCAUGAAAAUAACAUAUGAAAGCAAUAACAUUAUUAUCAUCAUGAAAUCAUAUAGACUUUAUAACAUAAUACUUAUCAUGCCAUUGCAUUUCAAUCAUUAAACAACAUAUUUUCCUCUUUAACCAGCCUACUAGUAUCUAUGGGGAUCCAUAGGGGUCCCGCUACCCGUGAACCCUUAACAUUUAUAACCUAAUUCCAGGGCCGUCCCCAUACGCCGUCCGGUAUGAGGGUGAAACAGGCCGUCCCCAUACCUCGUCCGGUAUGAGCGCCAAAACACAUAAAGUCUCCAUACCCCGUCCGGUAUGAGAGAU
Molecule: long non-coding RNA, 708 nt
Filed under: Carica papaya (papaya)
Lineage: Eukaryota; Viridiplantae; Streptophyta; Magnoliopsida; Brassicales; Caricaceae
Description: long non-coding RNA (CPAP_LNC005531)
Source: RNAcentral